GACGAACGCUGGCGGCGUGCUUAACACAUGCAAGUCGAACGAUGAAGCCGGAGCUUGCUCCGGUGGAUUAGUGGCGAACGGGUGAGUAACACGUGAGCAAUCUGCCCUUGACUCUGGGAUAACUGCGGGAAACUGUAGCUAAUACCGGAUACGACACCUUGGGGCAUCCCAGGUGGUGGAAAGAAUUUCGGUCAAGGAUGGGCUCGCGGCCUAUCAGCUAGUUGGUGAGGUAAUGGGCCACCAAGGCGACGACGGGUAGCCGGCCUGAGAGGGUGACCGGCCACACUGGAACUGAGACACGGUCCAGACUCCUACGGGAGGCAGCAGUGGGGAAUAUUGCACAAUGGGCGAAAGCCUGAUGCAGCAACGCCGCGUGAGGGAUGAAGGCCUUCGGGUUGUAAACCUCUUUUAGCAGGGAAGAAGCGAAAGUGACGGUACCUGCAGAAAAAGCACCGGCUAACUACGUGCCAGCCGCCGCCGUAA
Molecule: ribosomal RNA, 483 nt
Filed under: uncultured bacterium
Lineage: Bacteria
Description: partial 16S ribosomal RNA
Rfam family: Bacterial small subunit ribosomal RNA
Source: RNAcentral